GACGAACGCUGGCGGCGUGCUUAACACAUGCAAGUCGAACGGAAAGGCCCUGCUUUUGUGGGGUGCUCGAUUGGCGAACGGGUGAGUAACACGCGAGUAUCCUCCCCUUAACUUUGUGAUAACACCAGGAAACUGGGGCUAAUACCCGAGAUGAUCUCCUGCUGCAUGGUGGUGGUUGGAAAGUUUCGGCGUUUGGGGAUGGACUCGCGGGUUAUCAGCUUGUUGGUGGGGUAGUGGCUUACCAAGGCUUUGACGGGUAGGCGGCCUGAGAGGGUGACCGGCCACGUUGGGACUGAGGUAGGGCCCAGACUCCUACGGGAGGCAGUAGUGGAGAGUAUUGCACAAUGGGCGGAAGCCUGAUGCAGCAACGCCGCGUGCGGGAUGACGGCCUUCGGGUUGUAAACCGCUUUCGCCUGUGACGAAGCGGGAGUGACGGUAAUGGGUAAGGAAGCACCGGCUAACUACGUG
RNAcentral lists this ribosomal RNA (468 nucleotides) under uncultured bacterium. RNAcentral's name for it is "partial 16S ribosomal RNA". It matches the Rfam family "Bacterial small subunit ribosomal RNA", at positions 28 to 507 of the family's 1533-position model. The record is from RNAcentral.